CUGGGGACAUAGCUCAGUUGGUAGAAUGCUUGCCUUGCAUGCAAGGCCCUGGGUUCAGUUCCCAGCACCAGA
RNAcentral lists this transfer RNA (72 nucleotides) under Marmota monax (woodchuck). RNAcentral's name for it is "tRNA.Ala". Lineage: Eukaryota; Metazoa; Chordata; Mammalia; Rodentia; Sciuridae. The record is from RNAcentral.